AACUCUUCAACUCUUUUCUAGAUGAAGAUUCUCCAUGUACAUCCCACAAAUCAAGUUAGGAAAAAUAUGUUGGUAAAACAUGGCAGUCUGAGGCGCUUUAAGGCCCUCUCUCAUGCCUAGAUGGGUCCGCCGUCUGUCAUUAAUAUGAUGCAAUUGCAGUUCAUAUCUUCACCAACAGAAAGUAUAUGAAGCCGUAUAUGCAUAGAUAGCGGAUGUCAAGUUGUUAAGCUUUUAAGCUUUGGGAAAAUGACGUUCGAAGUUUUCAUAGCUGUGCACCUUUGCGUCUGUACAGCUAAAAGGGUUUCGUUAAGAAAAUCAUUUUAGACAAUAGAGCAAAUCUUUUUCUAAAAAAUGAGCUCCAGGAAUUUAAAUUUAAAGCAAAUUCCAUGGAAGGGCUUGGAAGGCAAGGGGGAUGAGUGCUGCUUUUGAAAAAUUUUAGAUAUUAAUGAUUUAAACUAAAACUAGUCCUAGAAUAUAUUCUGCGAAGAAGCCACUACCAAAAUCCAAUUUUUAAGCAUCAAAAACUGAGUUAGAACUUUCUCUCUGCAACAAGGCUCCAUCCUACUUUGAACUUUUCAAAACCUACUCUUGAAAUAGCAAAAUCUGCUCUUAGCCCACUUGUCAUCCAAAGCCCUCAAUUGAGAUGCAGUGAUUUUAAAAAAAUGACCACAUCUCCUGUUUUUACAUAAAACUAUUUUUAAGACAUAAAAUUAACUACUUAUCUAAUGUAAAAAAGGGAAAGUGCUUUUAAUGAAUCAACGUAUGAUAACUGUUGAGUUUUUCAAUGAUUUUUCUAAGGAACUAAGUGUUUGGUAACUUUCAAAUUGGACACAAGGGUCAAAUUAUAUUAUUGAUCUUCUAAAGUAGGGAAAAAAUUGGAGAGGGUGCCAUCCUACAGAUACCUAUAUGCAACAGUCUUAUUUAUGUUUAUUACUAGGUACUUUAAUGUGCUUAUUUACACUAUCAUCAAGGAGAUCAAUGAGCUUUUUUAAGAUGAACAGGGAAUUCCGACGCCCGCUUUUUUUAGAUAAAAAUAUUGAUAUGAAACUAGACAAGAAAGAGGAUAAACUAGCAAAGCAAUCAGAUAAACUUGUCCUCCCCACCUUCUUGAACACCAAAAGUGGUUAGUAAAUCGAGAGAUAUUUUCACUUCUGAAGGAGAAGCAGUCUGGAAAAUGGAUGAAUUCAGAUUAUUUUGGCCCAUUACGGAAAGUGGUUACCUUCAAGAAGAUAAUGAACCUGAAGAUCGGUGUGUGUUUCCUGAAAGAAUCAUCAAACAAAGUUUUACAGAGGCUGCCAGGCAUCCUGUUAAUGAGGAAAUUUUCAAUAAUGACAUGGAUCCCUCGAUGAUGGACGGACACAAUCCUCUGUCCCCGCCUUUUCCAACACCACCUCCAACCCCUUUGCCUUUGGACCUUCCCAUGAACUAUUCGCCUAAAAGUUUGAAAGAUACUCAAGAAGAAACUGAGGAAUAACAAGUGUGUUGGCAGAAAAUACCAAAAAAUCCAGAGCAAGAAAACAUUGUGUCUCUAGAUAAUGUCAUAGCAAAAGCGUGGGAACCCAUACCUUUGGACAAAGGCAAUUCGAAUCGGCCUUUGGUAAAACGUAGAGUAAACAAGUUGAAUACAAGUAAUUCGUCUAGUUCG
Bemisia tabaci is the source of this 1645-nucleotide non-coding RNA. The record is from RefSeq and is a predicted model, not a curated record. NCBI's taxonomy places the organism in Eukaryota, Metazoa, Arthropoda, Insecta, Hemiptera, Aleyrodidae.